This is a long non-coding RNA of Oncorhynchus keta (chum salmon), 1451 nucleotides long. RefSeq lists it as uncharacterized. The transcript has 2 exons. The record is from RefSeq and is a predicted model, not a curated record. Lineage: Eukaryota; Metazoa; Chordata; Actinopteri; Salmoniformes; Salmonidae.
GCCAGUAUUGAAUAUUUAUCUCUUCUUUUCUACUUCUGACGUGAAAAACAGGUGUGGUAAGAACAAUUUAGCAUUCGCUCCACCAGGUUCUUCAUUUAGGGCAAACUACUGCCCCACUGAGGGAUUUCAGACAAAACUGACCUUGAACGCUGAUAUUUACAGGCAAGGACUCCCAGGUAAACAGUCCGUCUGUUUCAAUAUAUUGAGAGUGCUCCGUUUGAUUUAGUUUCCAACUAACUUUACUACAUUUCCCUGCUGCUGUAAAGGGGAGCGAGAUGCGUGAGCGAUAUAAAAGUAAGGAGAACGCGGGCAGUGAGUGCAUCCAUAGUUUUGAGGGGAAACGGGCGAUUGGAAACAGUCUGUUUAAGAGACACGAAUCACCUAUGCCAGGAGAACCUGCCAGCUACUCGGAGAGGCCAAAUUCUCCUACUGGAGAGCUCUCCACAGUUGUGAGUCAAGGCAACAAGGCCUUGGGAUAUGUGAUUGCCUAAAGGAUGGCAGCUCUGAACAGGCAGGAUGUCAAAGACUCAGAGGGAAAGGUGAAUCACUCAAAAAAUACACUGAACAAAAAUAUAAAUGCAACGUGUAAAGUGCUGGUCCCAUAUUUCAUGAACUGAAAUAAAAGUUCCCAGAAGUUUUCCAUAUGCACAAAAAGCUUAUUUAUCUCUAAUUUUGUGCACAAAUUUGUUUACCUCCCUGUUAGUGAGAAGUUUCUCCUUUGUAAAGAUAAUCCAUCCACCUGACAAGUAUGGCAUAUCAAGAAGCUGAUUAAACAGUAUAAUAAUUACACAGGUGCACCUUGUGCUGCGGACAAUAAAAGGCCACUCUAAAAUUUGCAGUUUUGUCACACAACACAAUGCCACAGAUGUCUCAAGGGAGAGUGCAAUUGGCAUGCUGACUGCAGGAAUGUCCACCAGAGCUGUUGCCAGAGAAUUUAAUGGUAAUUUCUCUACCAUAAGCCACCUCCAACGUUGUAUUAGAGAAUUUGGCAGUGUGUCCAACCGGCCUCACAACCACAGACUACGUGUAACCACGCCAGCCCAGGACCUCCACAUCCAGCUUCUUCACCUGCAGGAUUGUCGGGGUGGGCACUGAGGGGUAUUUCUGUCUGUAACAAAGCCCUUUUGUGGGGAAAAAAACUCCUUCUGAGCCCCUGCCCAGUCAUGUGAAAUCAAUAGAUUAUAGAACUGUAACUCAGCAAAAUAUUUGGAUUUGUUGCAUAUUGCGUUUAUAUAUUUGUUCAGUUCAGUAUGACUUAAUUUGUUUUCUGGUGGUUCAGAUUCAUUCAGCCAUUCUGAUAACUUUGAAUCAACUGUGUACUAGUGCUGAUUGAUUAGUGCUUUUUGAUGUCGGUUCAGUUUCGGUAUAUAAUCACAUUUCUGUUUAAUGCACUAGGCAUUAUGUUGGUUGAAUGCUGUAACAACACAGAAUAAAAUAAUUAAUAAAAGUCA